GCCGGGUGCGGUGGCGCGUGCCUGUAGUCCCAGCUACUUGGGAGGAUGAGGUGGGAGGAUCGCUUGAGCCCAGGAGUUCUGGGCUGUAGUGCGCUAUGCCAAUCGGGUGUCCGCACUAAGUUCGGCAUCAAUAUGGUGACCUCCUGGGAGCGGGGGACCACCAGGUUACCUAAGAAGGGGUGAACCGGCCCAGGUCGGAAAUGGAGCAGGUCAAAACUCCCCUGCUGAUCAGUAGUGGGAUCGCGCCUGUGAAUACCCACUGCAUUCCAGCCUGAGCAACAUAGCGAGACUCUGUCUCU
RNAcentral lists this signal recognition particle RNA (299 nucleotides) under Cebus imitator (Panamanian white-faced capuchin). RNAcentral's name for it is "Metazoan signal recognition particle RNA (ENSCCAG00000009651.1)". It matches the Rfam family "Metazoan signal recognition particle RNA". From Rfam's summary of the family: The signal recognition particle (SRP) is a universally conserved ribonucleoprotein. It is involved in the co-translational targeting of proteins to membranes. The record is from RNAcentral. Lineage: Eukaryota; Metazoa; Chordata; Mammalia; Primates; Cebidae.